GAUACCCUUCCUACAAAAAUAACAACUUUCAAGAAGAAACCCCCCAGGGAUCUG
RNAcentral lists this non-coding RNA (54 nucleotides) under Cavenderia fasciculata. Lineage: Eukaryota; Evosea; Eumycetozoa; Acytosteliales; Cavenderiaceae. The record is from Rfam by way of RNAcentral.